CCUACGGGUGGCAGCAGUGGGGGAUAUUGGACAAUGGGGGGAACCCCGAUCCAGCGACGCCGCGUGAGUGAAGAAGUCUCUCUGUAUGUAAAGCUCUAUCAGCAGGGAAGAAGAACUGACGGUACCCGAGUACGCAGCCCCGGCUAACUACGUGCCAGCAGCCGCGGUAAUACGUAGGGGGCAAGCGUUAUCCGGAAUUACUGGGUGUAAAGGGAGCGUAGACGGUGAUGUAAGUCUGGAGUGAAAGGCGGGGGCCAAACCCCCGGACUGCUCUGGAAACUAUGUGACUGGAGUGCAGGAGAGGUGAGCGGAAUUCCUAGUGGAGCGGUGAAAUGCGUAGAUAUUAGGAGGAACACCAGUGGCGAAGGCGGCUCACUGGACUGUAACUGACGUUGAGGCUCGAAAGCGUGGGGAGCAAACAGGAUUAGAUACCCCAGUAGUC
This 442-nucleotide ribosomal RNA is filed under the name uncultured bacterium. RNAcentral describes it as "partial 16S ribosomal RNA". It matches the Rfam family "Bacterial small subunit ribosomal RNA", at positions 338 to 795 of the family's 1533-position model. The record is from RNAcentral.